AUGGUGCACAAAGACACACUGCAGCCUGACAAUGAUGUUGAGCCAACAAUUGAUGCUCAAGAAGGCCACAAUCUGGAACCAGCAGAAGUAACUGAGGACACACAACCCGCAACCAUGCCAUGUAUUCCUGGCGAAGAGGUUGUAGCUGAAGCACCUGCUGGAGUCCAAACUUCUUUGGAGCCUAAUGUGGAUGAGCCUGACGCCCUUCCGGAUACCAGUGAUGGAAACACAGAAACAGUUGAGCCAGCUAAAGUGGAUAAAGAGAACUGUCCAGAAGAUGAAGAUGUUGAGAUCGUCAAACUAGAAGAUCAACCAAGUGAUAAAACUGAUGAUGUGGAUGCAGACCUGGUGCAUGAAGAGGUGCCUAAAAGCAAGAAAACAGAUGUACCCGAAGAUAUGCCUAAAACUGGGCAAGCUGAUGAGUCGAUGAAUGGUGAUCAAGUGCUGAACCAAGAAUCAACAGAAGAAACCAGUGACCCUCUGCCUGAAAAAACUCAAGAAACUUCUCAUGAGAGCAAUGUGUCCACCUCUGAGGAGACAACUCCAGAACAUGAUGCAGUGACAAGGGAGCCAGCUCUUGAUGUUCAAGUGCAAAACCAGGGAUUAGCAGAAGAAAUAGCAGAUGCCAAAGAAGUUGAUGCUGAGAAAACAGUUCAACAAAGGGGUAUUGCUUUUGAGGAGGUAACUCCAGAAGAUAAUGCAACAAUCAUUGAACCAAGUUCUGACAUCCAACAUUUAAAUAAUGUGGAGUCAGAAGAAAUAAAGGGUCUUGAAGAUGCCAAAGCUGGAGAAUCCUCCGAUCAAAGCAACGUGACAAUUGCUGAAGAUGCAACCGAAGAUAAGGAAGCAACAGAAGAUAUGCAACCAGUUCAAGGGUUGGAAGAGGAAGAACCUAAGAACACUGGAACUGUCGAAAUGGAUGAAGCUUCCAGUCAACCACAUGCUGAUGUCAUCAAUAACCUUGCUGAAGAAGACAGUGUACCAGCAUGUGAGCCCCAGGUGAUAGGAUUAAAAGAAGAGGUGAAGGACACUGGAGCCACUGAAACUCAAGAAAUCACUCAACAAAGUCAUGCUGCUGCUUCAGAGGAACUAGUAACAGAAGAUAAUUCUAUGGCAAUUGAGCCAUCGAAUGAUGAUAUCCAGCAAAUCCUGGAGCAAGGAUCAUCUGAAGUUAAGCACGCAGAAGUUUCUGACACUCAAGAAAUCUGCCAUGAAAGAACUAUUUCUGCUCCUGAGGAGGACUCUGUAAAAGAUGAUGUAACAGCAGAAGGACCAAGCUGUGAUGCCCAAGAGGUAGAAAAUGUAGCAUCAGUAGAAGAAAUCAAGGAGAACACAGCUGAGGAUGUGUCUGAACAGCAAAUGCGGGGGCUUGAAACAGAAGAAAUACAGAGCACUGAACCUGUUGAAACAGAAGAAGCUUCUGAUCUAAGGCAUCCUGCUCUCUUGAAUGACCCAGCUCAAGAAGAUAUUCUACCGAGUGAUGUGCCAAAGACUGAAUCAACAGUAGACGUGAAGGAUACUGAAGCCAUUAAAACUGAAGCACUCCCCCAGGAAAGCAAUGAUUCCAUUUCUGAGGAGCCUGCUUCAGAAGAAAAUAUAACAGCAAGUGAAGUAAUUUGUGAUGAUCUUGCCAGAGAGCCAGAUGUUGAUAUGCAAUCAGUGCAGGAGCUACAGUCAGAAAAGAAGAAUGCUGAAUUUACUGAAGUGAGUGAAGCAUCUGGUGAAAUGGAUGCUGCCGUCAUUGAGAACCCAACUCAUGAAGAUAACCUAACCACAAGUGAGUCGCUUGUGAUGGAAUCAGCAGAAGUGAGCAGCAAUGAAGCCACUGAAGGCCAAGAAAUGCCUCAAAGUGAUGCUACUCAGUCAGAAGAUCACAAAACAGAAGAAAAUAUGGCAGUGAGUGAACCACAGAUCCUGGAACCAGAACCUGCUGAAGAAAUGAGAGACGGUGAAGCCACUGAGCCUCAAGCUAUCUCACUAGAAAGCACGUCUGUUCCAGAAGAAGAUGUAACAGCAAAAGAAGCAGCUUCUGAUAUCAGAGAAGUACAAACCGAAGAGCCUAUAGAAGAACCUGAUGAUGUGAAAGCUGAAGAAAUAUCCAACCAAAGCAGUGGGACCAUUGUUGGAGAAACAGCUCAAGAACACAAGUUACUAUCAAGUGACCCAACUAGUGAUGUACAAGCAAAGGAGCUCGAGUCACAAAAAACUGGUAACAGUGAGGAUGUUCAAACUGAAGAAGCUUCGCAUCAAACACACGCUGAAGAAACUUUGACAGAAAAUGAGCCACAAAUAGCAACAGAAGAUAACAGAGCAAUCCUGGCAGAUGUUAGCAUUCAGCAGCUUCAAGGGCAAGAACCAGUUGAAUUCAGGGACACUGAAGCUACUGAACCUCAAGGCAUCUCCCCAUCUCACACUGCCUCUGGUUCUGAGCAGUCCACACCAGAAGAUAACGAGAUGACAGAACCCAGUCCUGCAACUCAAGCAGAGAAUUUAGAAUCAGCAAUAGUGACGGAGGAAAGUAAAGAUAUGAAAAGCACUGACGCAAUUGCUGAGGAGGAAACUCCCAAAGAAUGCGUACAGGAAACUGAGGCACAUGUUGAUAUACCACCAGUGGAGAAUACUGACCCCGCUGAGGUGCAUGACAAUGCAACGACAAAUGACCUGCCAGCAGAAGAGGUGAAGGACAAUGAAGCCAUAGAGGUUGCAGAAAUCCACUAUGAGAGCCCUGUUGCAAAUAUUGGUGAUCUCACUGAAGAUGCCAAAAGCAAUGUUGCUCUUGAAGAUGAGGCAGCUCCUGAUGAAGAUGUAAAACCAACAGAGGCAACUGCUGCUAUACCACAACCACAAGAGCCAGAAUUAGAAGAGAUCAAGAAUAGUGAACCUGUUGAAGUGGAAGAUAAUAUAAUAGCAAGGGACCUGCCAGCAGAAGAGAUCAAGGACACUGACGCCAUGGAAACUGAGAUGAUCCCUCAUGAGAGUAGUGGUGCAAACAUUAGCGAGCUCAUCAAUGAUAUGAAAAGCAAUGUUGCUCUUGCGGACGAGGCAGCUCCUGAUGAACAUGCAAAAGCAACAGAGGCAACUGGUACUAUACCACAACCGCAAGAGCCAGACCUAGAAGAGAUCAAGAAUAGUGAACCAGCUGAAGUGGAAGGAAACAAAUCAGCAAGUGAUCUGCCAUCAGAAGAAGUGAAGGAUACUGAAGCCGUGGAAACAGAAGCAAUCAACGACAGCACUGAUGCAAAUAACAGUGAGCUCACUGAAGAUCUGCAAAGCAAUGUUGCUCUUACAGACGAGGCAGCUCAUGACGAACAUGUAGCGGUAGCGGAGACAACAGUUGAUAUACCACAAGCACAAGAGCCAGAACUAGAAGAGGUCAAGAAUAUUGAACCUGUUGAGGUGGAAGAAACUAGAUCAGCAAGUGACCUGCCAGCAGAAGAGGUGAAGGAAACUGAAGCAAUCAACGAGAGCACUGUUGCAAACACCAGCGAGCUAUCUGAGGAUGUGACAAGCAAUGUUGUUCCUGCAGAUGAGGCAGCUCCUGAAGAGCAUGUAUUAGCAACUGAGGCAACAGUUGAUAUACCAGAAGCACAAGAGCCAGAACUAGAACAGACCAAGAGUACUGAACCUUCUGAAGUGGAAGAAAUCAUAUCAGCAAAUGAUCUGCCAGCAGAAGAGGUGAAGGAUACUGAAGCCGUGGAGACUGAAGCAAUCAACGAGAGCGCUGAUGCAAACAACAGUGAGCUCCCUGAAGAUGUGAAAAACAAUGUUGCUCUUGCAGACGAGGCCGCUCCUGAAGAACAUGUAACAGUAGCUGAUGAUACAGUUGAUAUGCCACAAGCACAAGAGCCAGAAGUAGAAGAGAUGAAGAAUACUGAACCUGUUGAAGUGGAAGAAAACAUAUCAGCAAGUGACCUGCCAGCAGAAGAGGUGAAGAAGACUGAAGCGAUCAACGAGAGUGCUGAUGCAACCAUCAGCGAGCUCACAGAGGAGGUGAAAUGCAAUGUUGCUCUUGCAGACGAGGAACCUCAUGAAGAGCAUGUAACAGUAGCUGAGACAGCAGUUGAUGUACCACAAGCACAGGAGCUGGAACUAGAAGAGAUCAAGAAUACUGAACCUGUUGAGGUGGAAGAAAAGAUGUCAGCAAGUGACAUGCAGGCAGAAGAGGUGAAGGACACUGAAGCAAUCAACGAGAGCGCUGAUGCGAAAAUCAGUGAGCUCACUGAGGAUGUCAAACCUAAUGUUGCUCUUGCAGACGAGGCAGCUCCUGAAGAACAUGUAAUAGCAACUAAGGCAACAGUUGACAUACCACAAGCACAAGAUCCAGAACUAGAAGAAAUCAAGAAUACUGAACCUGUUGAAGUGGAAGAAAACAUAUCAGAGAGUGACCUGCGCGCAGAAGAGGUGAAGGACGCUGAAGCCAAAAAAACAGAAGCAAUCAAUGAGAGCACUGAUGCAAACAUCAGUGAGCUCACUGAGGAUGUGAAAAGUAAUGUUACUCGUGGAGAUGAGGCAGCUCCUGAAGAGCUUGUAACAGCAACCGAGGCAACAGUUGAUAUUCCACGAGCACAAGAGCCAGAACUAGAAGAGAUUGAGAAUGUUGAACCUGUUGAGGUGGAAGAAAACACAUCAGUGAGUGACAUGCCGGCAGAAGAGGUGAAGGACAUUGAAGCCAAGGAAACUGAUGCAAUCAAUGAGAGCAGUGAUGCAAACAUCAGUGAGCUUACUGAACAUAUGAAAAGCAACGUUGCUCUUAUAGAUGAGGCAGCUCAUGAAGAACAUGUAACAGUAGCCGAGACAACAGUCGAUCUACCACAAGCACAAGAGCCGGAGCUAGAAGAGAUCAAGAAUACUGAAGCAGGUGACCUGUCAGCAGAAGAGGUCCAGGAAAUUGAACCCAAGGAAACUGAAGCAAUCAGCGAAAUGACUGAUGCAAACAUCAGGGAGCUCAAUGAGGAUGUGAAAAGCAAUGUUGUUCUUGCAGACGAGGAACCUCAUGCAGAACAGGUAACAGUAGCUGAGAGAACAGUUGACAUACCACAAACACAGGAGCCAGAACUAGAAGAGAUCAAGAAUACUGAACCUGUUGAGGUGGAAGAAAAUAGAUCAGCACGUGACCUGCAAGCAGAAGAGGUGAGGGAAACUGAAGCAAUCAAUGAGAGCCCUGAUGCAAACAUUAGCGAGCUCACUGAGGAUGUGACAAGCAAUGUUGCUCCUGCGGACGAGGCAGCUGAGCAUGUAAUAGUAACUGAGGCAACAGUUGAUAUACCAGAAGCACAAGAGCCAAAACUAGAAGAGACCAAGAGUACUGAACCUGCUGAAGUAGAAGAAAACAUAUCAGCAAAUGAUCUGCCAGCAGAAGAGGUGAAGGAUACUGAAGCCGUGGAGACAGAAGCAAUCAACGAGAACACUGAUGCAAACACCAGUGAGCUCACUGAAGAUGUGAAGAACAAUGUUGCUCUUGCAGACGAGGCCGCUCCUGAAGAACAUGUAACAGUAGCUGAUGAUACAGUUGACAUGCCACAAGCACAAGAGCCAGAAGUAGAAGAGAUGAAGAAUACUGAACCUGUUGAAGUGGAAGAAAACAUAUCAGCAAGUGACCUGCCAGCAGAAGAGGUGAAGGACACUGAAGCAAUCAACGAGAGUGCUGACGCAAACAUCAGCGAGCUCACUGAGGAGGUGAAAUGCAAUGUUGCUCUUGCAGACGAGGAACCUCAAGAAGAGCAUGUAACAGUAGCUGAGACAGCAGUUGAUAUACCACAACCACAGGAGCUGGAACUAGAAGAGAUCAAGAACACUGAACCUGUUGAAGUGGAAGAAAACAUAUCAGCAAGUGACCUGCUGGCAGAAGAGGUGAAGGACGCUGAAGCCAAAGAAACAGAAGCAAUCAACGAGAGCACUGAUGCAAACAUCAGUGAGCUCACUGAGGAUGUGAAAAGUCAUGAUACUCGUGCAGAUGAGGCAGCUCCAGAAGAGAAUGUAAUAGCAGCUGAGGCAGCAGUUGAUAUACCACAAACACAAGUGUCAGAACUACAAGAGCUCGAGAAUGUUGAACCUGACAAGGUGGAAGAAAACAGAUCAGAAGGUGACCUGCCAGCGGAAGUGGUGAAGGAAAUUGAAACCAAGGAAACUGAAGCAAUUAACGAGAGCACUGAUGCAAACGUCAGCGAGCUCACCGGGGAUGUGACAAGCAAUGUUACUCCUGCAGACGAGGCAGCUCCUGAAGAGCAUGUAACAGCAACUGAGGCAACGGUUGAUAUUCCACGAGCACAAGAGCCAGAACUAGAAGAGAUCGAGAAUGUUGAACCUGUUGAGGUGGAAGAAAACACAUCAGCUAGUGACAUGCCGGCAGAAGAGGUGAGGGAAACUGAAGCAAUCAACGAGAGCACUGAUGCAAACAUCAGUGAGCUCACUGGAGAUAUGAAAAGCAACGUUGCUCUUAUAGAUGAGGCAGCUCAUGAACAUGUAACAGUAGCUGAGACAACAGUCGAUAUACCACAAACACAAGAGCCGGAGCUAGAAGAGAUCAGGUAUACUGAAGGAGGUGACCUGUCAGCAGAAGAGGUCAUGGAAAUUGAACCCAAGGAAACUGAAGCAAUCAGCGGAAGGACUGAUGCAAACAUCAGCGAGCUCAAUGAGGAUGUGAAAAGCAAUGUUGUUCUUGCAGACGAGGAACCUCAUGCAGAGCAUGUAACAGUAGCUGAGAGAACAAUUGACAUACCACAAGCACAGGAGCCGGAACUAGAAGAGAUCAAAAGUACUGAACCUGUUGAGGUGGAAGAAAAUAGAUCAGCAAGUGACUUGCAAGCAGAAGAGGUGAAGGAAACUGAAGCAAUCAAUGAGAGCCCUGAUGCAAACAUCAGCGAGCUCACUGAGGAUGUGACAAGCAAUGUUGCUCCUGCAGACGAGGCAGCCCCUGAAGAGCAUGUAAUAGCAACCGAGGCAACAGUUGAUAUUCCACCAGCACAAGAGCCAGACCUAGAAGAAAACAACAAUACUGAACCAGUUGAAGUGGAAGGAUUCAUAUCAGCGAGUGACCUGCCGACAGAAGAGGUGAAGGAGACUGAAACCAAGGAAACUGAAGCAAUCAAUGAGAGCACUGAUGCAAACAUAAGUGAGCUCACUGAGGAUGUAAAAGGCAAUAUUGCUCAUGCAGAUGAUGCAGCUCCUGAAGAACAUGUAAUAGCAGAUGAGGCAGCUCCUGAAGAACAUGCAAUAGCAGCUGAGGCAACAGAUGAUAUACCACAAGCACAAGUGCCAGAACUAGAAGAGCUCGAGAAUACUGAACCUGUUGAGGUGGAAGAAAACAAAUCAGCAACUGACCUGCCAGCUGAAGAGGUGAAGGACACUGAAACCAAGGAAACUGAAGCAGUCAACAAGAGCGCUGAUACAAACAUCAGCGAGCUCACUGAAGAUGUUACUCUUGCGGAUGAGGCAGCUGCUGACAUACAAAUCGAUGUACCACCAGCAAAGGAGCCAGCACUAGAAGAGAUGGAGAAUAUUGAACCUGUUGAAGCACAAGAUGGUAUAACAUCGGAUAAUGUCCCAGCAGAAGAGAUAAAUGACACUGAAGCCAUGGAGACUGGAGAAAUCCCUCAUGAGAGCACAGAUGAUAGUUUGACAGCAAGUGCAGCACUUCCUGAUAUUCAACAAGUCCCAGAACAAGAAGCAGUUGAAGAUAAGGCAUGCACUGACACCACAGAAAACCAAGGGGAACCUCAACAAAGCAUUGUUUCUACUUCUGCUGAGCUUACUCCAACAGAAGAAGAAACAGCAGUAGUAGAGCAUACUCAAGAUACACAUGUACAGAAUGCCGGCAGUGAACCGGGAAGUGACCCAAAUUUGCUUGUCCAAUCAGCACAUCAAUCAGAAUUAGCUGAAGACAGCAAGGGUCAACUUGUAAAGGCAGAAGAAACAGGCCAAAGUAAUGGUGCCACCCUUGAAGAACCAGCUGCAGAUGACAAUGCCGCAAAUGAAAUCGGCCCGCUUGCUGAUUCUAAACAAGAGCGUGGACUAGAAUCAGCGGAAGAAAACAAAUGUAUUGAUGCUACUGAAGGUGAAGAGGGCUCCCAUUUAAGCCAAGAUCCUGGUUUAGAGGAGCCAGUUUCAGAACGUGAUAUAGCAACAGUUGAGCCAACUUCUGAUAUUCAGCAAGUAAAUGACAUGGAUGAAGCAGAAGAAAUGGCGGCCACUGAACCCAUCAACGGGGAAGAAAUUUCCUCUCAAAAAACAGAAGUUGCUACUUUGGAGGAUCCAUCUCCAACAGAUAAUGGAACGGUGCCAGAACAAAAUCCUAUUGAGUUAGACGAAGAGAACUUGGGAAAUGAAAUCAGCAAUGCAAUCUUGGCGGAUGAAGACAUCAAAGAGGAAAUACAAGAGCCAACAGAACAAAAGGACGAAUCAUCUGACUUGGGUGAAAAAACUGCUUUCACAACUCAGAAGGACGAGAGCGCUACUGAGGAAGAUGUUGUACAAAUUUCUGGUGAAGAUACAGUAGGGACUUCAAACAAUAUUGAGCAAAUCAAAGAACUGCCAAAAUCUGUAAUUGAACAUAAUGCGAUAAAAAGUGGUGACCAUACCGAUGAUCAAGAUGACGAGCAACUUCACAAUGUGGAGCUUCAAAUGCAAGUGUGUGAGCGGUCAGUGGAUUUAACCACUGAGCAGCCAGAUGACCACGUGCAAAAGGUUAACUUGGAUCAGCAGAAGAAAGAAGAUGAGGCGAUUGAAAAGCAAACGGAAGAAAUACAGACAGAUGAGCAGAAACAUGAUGACAGUAGGGCUGAUUUCACCACAGAGACAAUAUUGGAGCCCCAGAGCAACGAAAUUGACACAACAAAUAGGAAAGACAACGCUGAUGUGUUUGAGGCUGAACAAACAGAGGCAGUGACUACUGAAAUGCUCAAGAAUGAACAAACCCUACAUAUAGCCCAAGAAUCCAUUCCAAGCGUUACAGAUGUGAAGGUUGAGAACUCCACGGAAAUAGAAGAAACAAUUGAACAAGAAGAUGCACCCAACAACACUGGCACUUUAUAUACUGAUGCUGAUGCUGAAAAAUAUAACGAAGAUGAGAAGGAGAAUACAGAAAUAGAUGCAGCAGUAGCAAAAACUUCUACUGAUGAACAGGAUGGAACAACUGAUGAAACUAUAAAUGAAGAGGAUCCUACGGUGGUUCCUCAGAAUGUUGAAUCCAGAGUGCACUCAGAAGAGAAAGAAUGCAUAAACGCCAAUGAUGGUAUGCAGGCCAUUCAAGCAUCAGAAGAAGAGAUCGUUGAUGAAGUGGAAAAGGAAGAAAUACAAAAUGAAGACACCAAUGUUAAUCAUGAAGAAAUUGAGACCAAACUUGUCGAUGAAGAGGCGUCUGGACUGCAGGACUUGAGCUUUCAUCCAAAGGUUAUAGAUGACAAGUUGGCAACAGAGCAGAAUGGUGCACAAGUUGAAACUGACUCGAAUGAGGAAAUGGCGACUGGCUAUACUGCAGUCACUGAAUCAGUCAAACUCGGUGAAGCUAUCUACAAUAAGGCUGGUGGACCUGAUGUGGCACUAUCUGAUGAAAAUCUCGCCAUUGAGGACAACAGAAGGAAUCUUGAGGCUUCACCUGCAGUUACAGCAUCAGGAGAAAGUAUGAACGAAGACAAUGAACAUCAUAAGCCUGAUCUUCCCGCACACUCCGCCAUGGAUGGAAAUGAAACUGAACAGGCAUCUGGCUUAGAAGUGACAGAAAGAGAGUUGUUUCCAGAGAAGCCACUCCCCACCGGAUCAGAAGAGCAAGAAGAGAGUCAAAUAACCAAAGAACAAGAUGGAGAGAACGUACAAGAGCAAGAAACUGAUGACACAGAGAAAGAAGAAAAAGAAGCUGAGCAGAGUUAUUUGCCUGUCUCCCAUUUUCUGAUGAACCUGAUAAUGGGAAAAGAGAGCAAUGAGCCAGAUGGAAAUUCGGAAUUUAAGGCUGAAAAGAAGCAAGAAGAAACCACAAAAGAUGGCAGUUCUUUGAUCACCUCGCAACAGGAAGAAAGCUUGGGGCCAAUCCCAACAGAAAAUAAGGUGGACAAUGAACGCGUCUUUGAACAAGGAAAACAUAAUAUAGAAGGCUCUGAAGAAACACAUGAUAUCAAGCUGGAAAAGGAUGAAGAGCUCAAUAGGGACACUCAUGGUUUGGAAGCACCAGUAUGCCAAAACAAUGUCCAUGGUGAAACUUCUAGUGAAAUGGUACCUGGUGGAUCUGGCCUGACUACAGAAAUGGAAACUAGAGACAUCAAGCUGGGUGAAAAGGCAACCAAUUCUGUUUGUCAGGAACAUAUGGAAGCGACAACACAGAUUGAAGAAGGAAGCUUGAAGCUUCAUGACAUAACAAGCCCAAAGGUUUCUCAAGAGGACACAUUAGAGGAAGGAAUAACAGACCUUCAGCACGAGCCUUUACCUGAAAAUAGAAGUUCUGAUGCAGUGUCCGGGCAAACACUCUUGUUGACAGAACCAAAUAUGGGUGAUGAAAAGAAUUUGCCUAAUGACACUGACGAUCUUCAAAGUCCUCUGAGCACAAAAAGAGAAGAGUCCAAUGAAUCUUCCAUCACUGAGGCCGAAAGUACUGUAGAGGCAGAACUGGAGAAUGGAGUAGACAAGGAAGAAAAGAAUCAGCAGACAACCACCACAGGUGGAGUUACAGAAGAACAGAUAGAAAAUGAGCAUGAUAUCUCGCAGAAAGGCACAGAGGCAAUAUCUGAUGAGCAGAAGGGUGAAAUUACUGAACCAGUUAUGGGCAAUGAGAUAAAUUUGAUUCAUGAAAAGGGGAUUUCUGCAGGCUCAGAAUGCAAGGACGAAAAACAAAGCUCUAAGUUCUCAAACAGUGAACUAGACAACUCUGAGAAAGCUUUGGAAAUUCAGUUAGAUGGUUCCAGCUUGCAUAUAGACCAAGAUAAGCAAGAUGAAUCUGCAGGCGACCAAAUUGUGAUGGAGAAGAACAACCUGCAAGACAAUCCAGGAGAAUCUGAUUUGCAGAAGGUGCAGGAAACGGAAGUUGCACAAGAAUCUCCUGAAGAAUCUGAUGAAGGUGAUCAGAAUUCUUUGCCCAUAAGAGAGCCUGUGAUCAAAGAAGUGAAUGUAAACAAAACUGUUGAUAACCAUGUGCAAACAGUGGACACACAAUCACAGGAAGAGCAAGAAACAUUUAAUUCACAGGUUCAGGAGCGUGAUCUCGAUGUGGCUUCACCAGAAGAAGCUCCUGAGGCUGAAGAAAAAAUUGUGGAGUCAAAGCCAGAAUUCAGCACAGAUGAAGAACAAAGUCCAAAGAAAGAUGAAUCAAAUAUGGCAGGAGAGAAAACUUAUGAUGAGAAAACAAAGGGUGCACAGGAAGCUAAGAGUCUCACUGACGAAGCGAAAACCAAAGUUGAAGAACAAGGAGUAGUACAGAAGGCGUCACACAAUCAGAAACGUGAUCUCGAUGUGGUUUCACCAACAGAAGCUCCUGGGACUGAAGAAAAUGUUGUGGAUAUAAAAGAGCCAGAGUUCAGCACAGAUGAAGAACAAAGUCCAAAGAAAGAUGUAUCAAACAUGGCAGAAGAGAAGAGUUAUGAAAAGAAGACAAAUGGUGACGACGAAGCUAAGAAUUUCACUGAUGACGCACCAACGAAAAUUGAAGAACGAGAGGCAGGGCAGAAGGCAUCACCUAAAAAGCAUAAUAUCUUAUCUGGUGUCGGAUCAAAGGUAAAGCACCAACUAGCAAAAGUGAAGAAAGCUAUCAUAGGCAAGCCUGGGCACACAAAAUCUGAAUUACCAAAAGCUUGA
RNAcentral lists this ribosomal RNA (11775 nucleotides) under Triticum aestivum (bread wheat). RNAcentral's name for it is "partial small subunit ribosomal RNA". Lineage: Eukaryota; Viridiplantae; Streptophyta; Magnoliopsida; Poales; Poaceae. The record is from RNAcentral.